Molecule: ribosomal RNA, 482 nt
Filed under: uncultured bacterium
Lineage: Bacteria
Description: bacterial SSU rRNA
Rfam family: Bacterial small subunit ribosomal RNA
Source: RNAcentral
GACGAACGCUGGCGGCGUGCUUAACACAUGCAAGUCGAACGAUGAACCACUUCGGUGGGGAUUAGUGGCGAACGGGUGAGUAACACGUGGGCAAUCUGCCCUGCACUCUGGGACAAGCCCUGGAAACGGGGUCUAAUACCGGAUACAACCACUGACCGCAUGGUCGGGUGGUGGAAAGCUCCGGCGGUGCAGGAUGAGCCCGCGGCCUAUCAGCUUGUUGGUGAGGUAAUGGCUCACCAAGGCGACGACGGGUAGCCGGCCUGAGAGGGCGACCGGCCACACUGGGACUGAGACACGGCCCAGACUCCUACGGGAGGCAGCAGUGGGGAAUAUUGCACAAUGGGCGAAAGCCUGAUGCAGCGACGCCGCGUGAGGGAUGACGGCCUUCGGGUUGUAAACCUCUUUCAGCAGGGAAGAAGCGAAAGUGACGGUACCUGCAGAAGAAGCGCCGGCUAACUACGUGCCAGCAGCCGCCGUAACAC